GACGAACGCUGGCGGCGUGCCUAAUACAUGCAGGUAGAACGCACAGUUUAUACCGUAGCUUGCUACACCAUAGACUGUGAGUUGCGAACGGGUGAGUAACGCGUAGGUAACCUGCCUGGUAGCGGGGGAUAACUAUUGGAAACGAUAGCUAAUACCGCAUAAUAUUAAUUAUUGCAUGAUAAUUAAUUGAAAGGUGCAAUUGCACCACUACCAGAUGGACCUGCGUUGUAUUAGCUAGUAGGUGAGGUAACGGCUCACCUAGGCGACGAUACAUAGCCGACCUGAGAGGGGGAUAGGCCACACUGGGACUGAGACACGGCCCAGACUCCUACGGGAGGCAGCAGUAGGGAAUCUUCGGCAAUGGACGAAAGGCUGACCGAGCAACGCCGCGUGAGUGAAGAAGGUUUUCGGAUCGUAAAGCUCUGUUGUAAGAGAAGAACGGGUGUGAGAGUGGAAAGUGCACACUGUGACGGUAUCUUACCAGAAAGGGACGGCUAACUACGUG
RNAcentral lists this ribosomal RNA (505 nucleotides) under uncultured bacterium. RNAcentral's name for it is "partial 16S ribosomal RNA". It matches the Rfam family "Bacterial small subunit ribosomal RNA", at positions 28 to 507 of the family's 1533-position model. The record is from RNAcentral.